This is a long non-coding RNA of Parus major (Great Tit), 143 nucleotides long. RefSeq lists it as uncharacterized. The record is from RefSeq and is a predicted model, not a curated record. Lineage: Eukaryota; Metazoa; Chordata; Aves; Passeriformes; Paridae. The transcript is spliced from 2 exons.
UGCAGGGCGGCCGCAGGAGGGAGCGGCCGGGAGCGCUGCCCUGGAACGGGGCCCUGUUCCCGGGCCGGCGCCGCCCGUUCCGCGCUCGCUCCGGGGGGCGCUGGGAGCCCGAGGGGGCCCGGAAACGGAAACGCUCCCGGAGC